This 68-nucleotide transfer RNA is filed under the name Xenagama taylori. RNAcentral describes it as "tRNA-Phe". Lineage: Eukaryota; Metazoa; Chordata; Lepidosauria; Squamata; Agamidae. The record is from RNAcentral.
AUACUAGUAGCUUACACUCCAAAGCGCAGUGCUGAAGACACUGAAAUGAGACUUAUUCUCCAAGUAUA